CAAUAGCGUAUAUUAAAGUUGUUGCAGUUAAAAAGCUCGUAGUUGGAUUUCUGGUGGGAGCGAUCGGUCUGGCGCUUAGCGCGAGUACUUGCAUCGUCUCCGGCCAUCCUUGGGGAGAGUCUGUCUGGCAUUAAGUUGUCGGGCAGAGGAUCCUCAUCGUUUACUGUGAAAAAAUUAGAGUGUUCAAAGCAGGCUUAUGCCGUUGAAUAUAUUAGCAUGGAAUAAUAAGAUAGGACUUUGGUACUAUUUUGUUGGUUUGCGCACCAAAGUAAUGAUUAAUAGGGACAGUUGGGGGUAUUCGUAUUCCGUUGUCAGAGGUGAAAUUCUUGGAUUUACGGAAGACGAACUACUGCGAAAGCAUUUACCAAGGAUGUUUUCAUGAA
This 383-nucleotide ribosomal RNA is filed under the name uncultured eukaryote. Its description in RNAcentral is "partial 18S ribosomal RNA". It matches the Rfam family "Eukaryotic small subunit ribosomal RNA", at positions 592 to 976 of the family's 1831-position model. The record is from RNAcentral.